GACGAACGCUGGCGGCGUGCCUAACACAUGCAAGUCGUACGGGACCGGGGGCAACUCCGGUUCAGUGGCAGACGGGUGCGUAACACGUGAGGAACUUGUCCGGUGGCGGGGGAUAGCCGGCCCAACGGCCGGGUAAUACCGCAUACGCUCGUUCGGGGGCAUCCCUGGGCGAGGAAAGCAGCCGCAAGGUUGCGCCGACGGAGGGCCUCGCGACCUAUCAGCUUGUUGGCGGGGUAACGGCCCACCAAGGCACGACGGGUAGCUGGUCUGAGAGGAUGAUCAGCCACAUUGGGACUGAGACACGGCCCAGACUCCUACGGGAGGCAGCAGUGGGGAAUAUUGCGCAAUGGCCGCAAGGCUGACGCAGCGACGCCGCGUGUGGGAUGACGGUCUUCGGAUUGUAAACCACUGUCAGGGGAACGAAUACAGGGCUUCGAUAAGGGAUCCUGGGUGACGGUACCUCCAAAGGAAGCACCGGCUAACUCCGUGCCAG
Molecule: ribosomal RNA, 493 nt
Filed under: uncultured bacterium
Lineage: Bacteria
Description: bacterial SSU rRNA
Rfam family: Bacterial small subunit ribosomal RNA
Source: RNAcentral